GAUGAACGCUGGCGGCGUGCCUAAUACAUGCAAGUCGAGCGAACGUACGAUAAUCUUUCUUCUCUGAUUUUAUCGGCGGCCGGGUGAUUAACCCGUGGAUAACCUCCCUUUAAUUCUGGGAUACCUUCUGGAAACCUUGGCUAAUCCCGGAUAAUAUUUUGUACCGCAUGGUUCAACAGUGAAAGACGCUCUUGCUGUUACUUCUAGAUGGAUCCGCGCUGCCUUAGCUAGUUGGUAAGGUAACGGCUUACCAAGGCAACGAUGGAUAGCUGACCUGAGAGGGUGAUCGGGCAGACUGGAACGGAGACAGGGUCCAGACACCUACGGGAGGGAGGAGGAGGGAAGCGGCAGCGAUGGGCGAAAGGAUGACGGAGGAACGGCGGGUGAGUGAUGAAGGUAGUCGGAUCGGAAAACACUGUUAUUAGGGAAGAAAAUAGGUGUAAGUAACUGUGCACAUCUUGACGGUAGCUAAGCAGAAAGGCGCGGCUAAAUAAGGG
This 497-nucleotide ribosomal RNA is filed under the name uncultured bacterium. Its description in RNAcentral is "partial 16S ribosomal RNA". It matches the Rfam family "Bacterial small subunit ribosomal RNA", at positions 28 to 507 of the family's 1533-position model. The record is from RNAcentral.